This 250-nucleotide ribosomal RNA is filed under the name uncultured bacterium. Its description in RNAcentral is "partial 16S ribosomal RNA". It matches the Rfam family "Bacterial small subunit ribosomal RNA", at positions 524 to 773 of the family's 1533-position model. The record is from RNAcentral.
UACGAAUGGAGCAAGCGUUGUUCGGAAUAACUGGGCUUAAAGCGUAUGUAGGCGGAUUACCAAGUCGGGAGUGAAAUCCCGGGGCUCAACCCCGGAACUGCUUCCGAAACUGGUAGUCUAGAAUACUGGAGAGGUUGGGAGAAUUCCUAGUGUAGAGGUGAAAUUCGCAGAUAUUAGGAGGAAUACCAGUGGCGUAGGCGCCCAACUGGACAGUUAUUGACGCUCAGAUACGAAAGCGUGGGGAGCAAAC